This 368-nucleotide long non-coding RNA is filed under the name Physcomitrium patens. Its description in RNAcentral is "long non-coding RNA (PPAT_LNC013962)". The record is from RNAcentral. Lineage: Eukaryota; Viridiplantae; Streptophyta; Bryopsida; Funariales; Funariaceae.
UAAUAACCUCCAAUCCAACUAUCUAAUUAAGCUCAAAUUUAUAACAUAUAUUUAUUGCAAAUAUACUCACAACUUCAAAAAAUUUAACUUAUAGAUUUGCUACAAAACUUACAAAAUUAUUUAAAUUAAAAAUCCUAUUUUAUUUUAUAAAAUCUAGAAUAAGUUAAAAAAAUCUUAGCUUUGUAAAGCUUGUACAAAGUUUUUAAAAACUCAAAUUCCUUAUAAUUGAUGUUUUAAGAAACACUAUAAAGUCUUCUCCCGAAUUCCACUCUUUGAUUUGCAAAAAAAUCCUUGAACCUCUGUUAGUGCAUAGCUUUGUACUUUAAGAUUUGAUUUUGAUCCUAGUUGGCAAUUGGUCAUUUUUGGGU